GUGGGGAAUCUUCCGCAAUGGACGAAAGUCUGACGGAGCAACGCCGCGUGAGUGAUGAGGGUCUUCGGAUUGUAAAGCUCUGUUAAUCGGGACGAAAGAGCCUAGUGUGAAUAAUGCUAGGAAGUGACGGUACCGGAAUAGAAAGCCACGGCUAACUACGUGCCAGCAGCCGCGGUAAUACGUAGGUGGCAAGCGUUGUCCGGAAUUAUUGGGCGUAAAGCGCGCGCAGGCGGAUCUGCCAGUCUGUCUUAAAAGUUCGGGGCUUAACCCCGUGAUGGGAUGGAAACUACAGAUCUAGAGUAUCGGAGAGGAAAGUGGAAUUCCUAGUGUAGCGGUGAAAUGCGUAGAUAUUAGGAAGAACACCAGUGGCGAAGGCGACUUUCUGGACGAAAACUGACGCUGAGGCGCGAAAGCCAGGGGAGCGAACGGGAUUAGAUACCCUGGUAGUCC
This 450-nucleotide ribosomal RNA is filed under the name uncultured bacterium. RNAcentral describes it as "partial 16S ribosomal RNA". It matches the Rfam family "Bacterial small subunit ribosomal RNA", at positions 354 to 796 of the family's 1533-position model. The record is from RNAcentral.